Cinara cedri is the source of this 828-nucleotide non-coding RNA. The record is from the annotation of a GenBank genome assembly. Lineage: Eukaryota; Metazoa; Arthropoda; Insecta; Hemiptera; Aphididae.
CGUGUGUGCACAGAUCGCUGGACCUUACACCUACAGGUUGCCCAUUAGUCAACAACAGUUUGGUGCCACAGUCGUCUUCUUCUUUUAGCCCUACCAUACUUUUCAUUUCCACACUCAGAAAUUGUCACUGUUCCAUAGUACCUAUAAUUACUUUAACCUAUGGUUUUGUUCUUACAGUAGUAGGUCAGUUUUUACGUUCAUACGAUUCGUAAAAAAAAAAAAUUAAAACGAUGAAUGUUCGUGCUUAAAAUGUAUAACAAUAAAUAAAACUAAUGAAUAUCGCCGUCAUUCAGCUGCAUCACAUCUCCGCCGACAUACGCAACUCGACAAUUGUAAUAUGCAUCGGUUGCAGGUAAUAUUAUAUUAUAUUUUCUAAAAAUAUGUUAUAAUAAUUAUGUAUAAUAUACUAUGUACCCAUGGGUAAAAUAAAUUUGUUUUUUUCAAAACACUAUCGUGGCGAUCGUUAUUUCAAAUCGGCUCAGAUAUACUGUCGAAAUGUAACGAUUUUCUAUUUUUCGCAAUACAUAUUUUCGUAAUAUAAGGAUAUUAACAUAUUAUUAUCAUCGUAGCCAAUUCAUAGGUAUUGUGUGUUUAAUUUUCAACCGAAAUAAUUUAUUCCACUUUGAGGUUAUUACAUAUUAUACAAUUUUUUCUUACUUAUAAUAGUCCUAUGGGUAGGUAAUAAUUUAGUCCUUUAGGUACUUAAAAGUCACUAUAAGAACCUAUAGACCAUAUUUUUAUCUAUAUCUAUAGUUAUUUUUAUAUUUCAACAAGUUUUGUAGAAUAUAAAACUAUGUAACUAUUUAUAACUGUAUUUUUCGAACAGAC